AAGUCGAGCGGAGAGGCCCUUCGGGGUACUCGAGCGGCGAACGGGUGAGUAACACGUGAGUAACCUGCCCCAGACUUUGGGAUAACCCUCGGAAACGGGGGCUAAUACCGAAUAUUACUUCCGAUCGCAUGGUUGGUUGUGGAAAGUUUUUCGGUUUGGGAUGGACUCGCGGCCUAUCAGCUUGUUGGUGGGGUAAUGGCCUACCAAGGCGAGGACGGGUAGCCGGCCUGAGAGGGCGACCGGCCACACUGGGACUGAGACACGGCCCAGACUCCUACGGGAGGCAGCAGUGGGGAAUAUUGCACAAUGGGCGGAAGCCUGAUGCAGCGACGCCGCGUGAGGGAUGACGGCCUUCGGGUUGUAAACCUCUUUCAGCAGGGACGAAGCGCAAGUGACGGUACCUGCAGAAGAAGCGCCGGCCAACUGCGUGCCAGCAGCCGCGGUAAGACGUAGGGCGCGAGCGUUGUCCGGAUUUAUUAGGCGUAAAGAGCUCGUAGGCGGCUUGUCGCGUCGAAUGUGAAAUCUCAGGGCUCAACUCUGACAUUGCAUUCGAUACGGGCAGGCUAGAGUUCGGUAGGGGAGACUGGAAUUCCUGGUGUAGCGGUGAAAUGCGCAGAUAUCAGGAGGAACACCGGUGGCGAAGGCGGGUCUCUGGGCCGAUACUGACGCUGAGGAGCGAAAGCGUGGGGAGCGAACAGGAUUAGAUACCUUGGUAGUCCACGCUGUAAACGUUGGGCGCUAGGUGU
This 746-nucleotide ribosomal RNA is filed under the name uncultured microorganism. RNAcentral's name for it is "bacterial SSU rRNA". It matches the Rfam family "Bacterial small subunit ribosomal RNA", at positions 59 to 823 of the family's 1533-position model. The record is from RNAcentral.